RNAcentral lists this transfer RNA (73 nucleotides) under Candidatus Chazhemtobacterium aquaticus. Its description in RNAcentral is "tRNA-Pro". It matches the Rfam family "tRNA". From Rfam's summary of the family: Transfer RNA (tRNA) molecules are approximately 80 nucleotides in length. RNAcentral also lists the same sequence under 1 other name. The record is from RNAcentral. Lineage: Bacteria; Candidatus Chazhemtobacteraceae.
CGGGGUGUAGCUCAGAUGGUAGAGUGCUGCGUUUGGGACGCAGAGGUCCCCGGUUCGAGACCGGGCACCCCGA